UCAUAAGGACCUAAUCAAGAGCUAUGGUUCCGCACCUAAUAGUAAGAUUGGUUGAUUUAUUUCAUUUUAUAUAUUUUCAUGGAUAUUGUUGUAUAUAUAUUUAUUUUUUAUUUAGGUUUCUUCAAAGAAUUGAUGGUAAGGUAGCUGCGGAACAGUAGCUCUUAGGUCUUUAUAAUAUAUCAUAAGGACCUAAUUAAGAGCUAUGGUUCCGCACCUAAUAGUAAGAUUGGUUGAUUUAUUUCAUUUUAUACAUUUUCAUGUGUAUAUGGUCGUAUAUAUAUUUAUUUUUUAUAUAGGUCUCUUCAAAGAAUUGAUGGUAAGGUAGCUGUGGAACCGUAGCUCUUAAGUCUUUAUAAUAUAUCAUAAGGACCUAAUUAAGAGCUAUGGUUCCGCACCUAAUAGUAAGAUUGGUUGAUUUAUUUCAUUUUAUAUAUUUUCAUGUGUAUAUGGUUGUAUAUAUAUUUAUUUUUUAUAUAGGUUUCUUCAAAGAAUUGAUGGUAAGGUAGCUGCGGAACCGUAGCUCUUAGGUCUUUAUAAUAUAUCAUAAGGACCUAAUUAAGAGCUAUGGUUCCGCACCUAAUAGUAAGAUUGGUUGAUU
This is a long non-coding RNA of Mytilus californianus (California mussel), 598 nucleotides long. RefSeq lists it as uncharacterized. The transcript has 3 exons. NCBI's taxonomy places the organism in Eukaryota, Metazoa, Mollusca, Bivalvia, Mytilida, Mytilidae. The record is from RefSeq and is a predicted model, not a curated record.